This 498-nucleotide ribosomal RNA is filed under the name Pseudochironomus sp. CH142R1. RNAcentral describes it as "partial large subunit ribosomal RNA". It matches the Rfam family "Eukaryotic large subunit ribosomal RNA", at positions 432 to 900 of the family's 3401-position model. Lineage: Eukaryota; Metazoa; Arthropoda; Insecta; Diptera; Chironomidae. The record is from RNAcentral.
UGUGCACUUUUCUCUUAGUAGGACGUCGUGAUCCAUUAGAAAUUGGUAUACGCCAGUAUAUGUUGGGUCAUCAAUAGGCCAAUGUGAAGUUUCUCGGAACGAAUGGCACAGUCUUUUACGGUUGUGUGUAUCGUCUGGGAAGCGCGUAUGACUGUCUGAUGGAUUUUAGAGAUCACAUUAUUGAUGAUGGGAGCUUAUGUGUGUCCGAUCAACGGCGGUUAAAUUUGGGAUACCUUUUGGACCCGUCUUGAAACACGGACCAAGGAGUCCAUCUAGUAUGCGAGUAAAUGGGUAGCUUGAAACCUAUUUGCAGAAAAAACUUGACUGUUUGCUGCUCUCUUCCAUCCCGGAGUAUUUUCAUCAACAUAUGCAAAAGUAUAUGGAAAAUAUAUCAUGAGCACACUGGAUGCGACCCGAAAGAUGGUGAACUAUGCCUGAUCAGGUCGAAGUCAGGGGAAACCCUGAUGGAGGACCGAAGCAGUUCUGACGUGCAAAUCG